RNAcentral lists this ribosomal RNA (253 nucleotides) under uncultured prokaryote. RNAcentral's name for it is "partial 16S ribosomal RNA". It matches the Rfam family "Bacterial small subunit ribosomal RNA", at positions 524 to 776 of the family's 1533-position model. The record is from RNAcentral.
UACAGAGGGUGCGAGCGUUAAUCGGAAUUACUGGGCGUAAAGGGUGCGUAGGUGGUUGCGUAAGUUAGGUGUGAAAGUCCUGGGCUUAACCUGGGGAUUGCGCCUAAUACUGUGUGACUAGAGUUCUGUAGAGGAAAGUGGAAUUUCCGGUGUAGCGGUGAAAUGCGUAGAUAUCGGAAGGAACAUCGGUGGCGAAGGCGAUUUUCUGGACAGAGACUGACACUGAGGCACGAAAGCGUGGGGAGCAAACAGG